AGAAGAUUGACUGAGUGGUUUAAAGUGGUAUACUUGAGAUAUAUUUUAUUUAUAAUAACAUUGGUUCGAAUCCAAUAUCUUCUG
Ophiostoma piceae is the source of this 84-nucleotide transfer RNA. It matches the Rfam family "tRNA". Rfam says of the family: Transfer RNA (tRNA) molecules are approximately 80 nucleotides in length. NCBI's taxonomy places the organism in Eukaryota, Fungi, Ascomycota, Sordariomycetes, Ophiostomatales, Ophiostomataceae. The record is from Rfam.